RNAcentral lists this transfer RNA (90 nucleotides) under bacterium. RNAcentral describes it as "tRNA-Ser". It matches the Rfam family "tRNA". From Rfam's summary of the family: Transfer RNA (tRNA) molecules are approximately 80 nucleotides in length. Their secondary structure includes four short double-helical elements and three loops (D, anti-codon, and T loops). The record is from RNAcentral.
GGAGAGAUGCCUGAGCGGCUGAAAGGGCAGUCCUGGAAAGACUGUAGGGUUUAACGACUCUCGAGGGUUCGAAUCCCUCUCUCUCCGCCA